GGAUGCGAUCAUACCAGCACUAAUGCACCGGAUCCCAUUAGAACUCCGCAGCUAAGCGUGCUUGGGUGAGAGUAGUACUAGGAUGGGUGACUCCUAUGAAGUCCUCGUGCAGCUUCCC
RNAcentral lists this ribosomal RNA (118 nucleotides) under Arabidopsis suecica. Lineage: Eukaryota; Viridiplantae; Streptophyta; Magnoliopsida; Brassicales; Brassicaceae. RNAcentral also lists the same sequence under 1 other name. The record is from RNAcentral.